AACGUAGGACGCAAGCGUUAUCCGGAAUUACUGGGCGUAAAGCGCGUGUAGGUGGUUAUGCAAGUCACUUGUGAAAGCUCCCGGCUAAACUGGGAGAGGUCAGGUGAGACUGCACAGCUAGAGGGCAACAGAGGGGUGCGGAAUUCCGGGUGUAGUGGUGAAAUGCGUAGAUAUCCGGAGGAACACCAGAGGCGAAGGCGGCACCCUGGGUUGUACCUGACACUGAGACGCGAAAGCAUGGGUAGCGAAC
Molecule: ribosomal RNA, 250 nt
Filed under: uncultured bacterium
Lineage: Bacteria
Description: partial 16S ribosomal RNA
Rfam family: Bacterial small subunit ribosomal RNA
Source: RNAcentral